Molecule: ribosomal RNA, 858 nt
Filed under: Sistotrema sp.
Lineage: Eukaryota; Fungi; Basidiomycota; Agaricomycetes; Cantharellales; Hydnaceae
Description: partial 28S ribosomal RNA
Rfam family: Eukaryotic large subunit ribosomal RNA
Source: RNAcentral
AUCUGGCCUCGAAUCAGGUGGGAUUACCCGCUGAACUUAAGCAUAUCAAUAAGCGGAGGAAAAGAAACUAACAAGGAUUCCCCUAGUAACGGCGAGUGAAGCGGGAUGAGCUCAAAUUUAAAAUCUGGUAGUCUUUUUUGGCUCCCCGAAUUGUAAUCUAGAGAAGUGUUUUCUGUGCUGGACUGUGUACAAGUUUCCUGGAUACGGAACAUCAUAGAGGGUGAGAAUCCCGUCCUUGACACAGACUCCCAGUGCUUUGUGAUGCACUCUCGACGAGUCGAGUUGUUUGGGAUUGCAGCUCAAAAUGGGAGGUAAAUUCCUUCUAAAGCUAAAUAUUGGCGAGAGACCGAUAGCGAACAAGUACCGUGAGGGAAAGAUGAAAAGCACUUUGGAAAGAGAGUUAAACAGUACGUGAAAUUGUUAAAAGGGAAACGAUUGAAGUCAGUCGCGUCUACUUUGGACUCAGCCUUGCUUCGGCUUGGUGCAUUUCCUUAUGGACGGGCCAGUGUUCAUGUUGGUUACUGGAAAAAGUACAAGGGAAUGUGGCUCCUUUUUUGGGAGUGUUAUAGCCCUUGUUCAUUAUACAGUGGCUGAUAUGGAGUGGUACAGCAUGCUUCGGCGGUGCUUGUGCUGGCAUAAUGGCUUUAAGCGACCCGUCUUGAAACACGGACCAAGGAGUCUAACAUGUCUGCGAGUAUUUGAGUGAUAAACUCAAGUGCGUAAUGAAAGUGAUAGCUGGGAACCCCCUAAAUUUGGGGAGGCACCGGUACCCCGAGCGGAUCUUCUGUGAUGCAUCGGAGGUAGAGCAUAUAUGUUGGGACCCGAAAGAUGGUGAACUACGCCUGAAUAGGGUGAAGC